Molecule: non-coding RNA, 28 nt
Filed under: Mus musculus (house mouse)
Lineage: Eukaryota; Metazoa; Chordata; Mammalia; Rodentia; Muridae
Source: RNAcentral
UGAUGGUGAGUGGUCUUGUUUUCUCUUA